Molecule: long non-coding RNA, 278 nt
Filed under: Elaeis guineensis (African oil palm)
Lineage: Eukaryota; Viridiplantae; Streptophyta; Magnoliopsida; Arecales; Arecaceae
Description: long non-coding RNA (EGUI_LNC004037)
Source: RNAcentral
UUGGGUUUGGUAGGAGUGUUUCUUUGAACUAGUUCCUGUAUGGAUCACCGUUGGAAGGCGAAUGCUUAGACACCUCAUAAAAAUUAAUCAUUACCAAAUCAAAAUUUAAUAGGUAUGCUUUCUAUUACUUAUUAUUAGAUUAUGCUUUGAUUGUUAUUAUCAAGGUGUCCUGGGCAUUAGAAUUUUGGUGUGCUAGGAUGUUUUGAAUAAAAUUUUAAACAUCUAGGUAUUCUGCUACACCACCAUAACCUAAUAAGAUCAUCAGAUCACAGUGAAGA